AUGAAUAGUCUAAACCUCAGUGUGCUUAAUUGGAACGUGCGUGGACUGAAUUGCCCAAACAGAAGAGCCACGGUCAAUGCUACUAUUGCUACGUCUGCGUGUCAUUUGGCCUGUUUACAAGAAUCAAAGCUCCAGGCUGUUGAUGCUGUUGUUGCUUGCUUCCUUGGCGGAUACAGAUUAAAGGGUUUUGCUCAGCGCCCUGCUGUAGGCACGCGCGGUGGGAUAUUGCUAUUGUGGGAUGAAGAUCAUGUCUGCUUCGAGAAUGUUCACCAUGGCGACUUCACUCUCUCGGCGCAAAUUACUAUAAUCAGCUCCAAUACUUCCUUCAAGUUUACCACUGUUUACGGUCCAACUAGAAACAACCUCAAAGACGUGUUCUUUCAAGAGCUGAAGGAUGAGAAGCCGCCUUUGGGAGAACGAUGGCUCGUCGCGGGUGACUUUAACCAAAUUUACCGGGCAAGAGACAAGAAUCGUUCUAAUGCAAAUCGUAGUCGCAUCACCCAUUUCCGGAAUGCCCUCAAUUUUUGCGAGCUAAAGGAAAUCCACCUACAAAACAGGAGGUUUACAUGGAGCAAUGAGCAAAAUAACCCGACCAUGUCCAAACUUGAUGGUUUCUUCUGCAAUGAGGAUUGGGAUAUCACCUUUGACAAGCACAUCCUGCAUGCCUUAUCUUCAUCACUCUCUGACCAUUGCCCACUUCUCCUGGCCAAUGAUGAUGGGCCCUCGGCGACCGCGGAGUUUCCGCUUUGA
This 750-nucleotide ribosomal RNA is filed under the name Triticum aestivum (bread wheat). RNAcentral's name for it is "partial small subunit ribosomal RNA". The record is from RNAcentral. Lineage: Eukaryota; Viridiplantae; Streptophyta; Magnoliopsida; Poales; Poaceae.